RNAcentral lists this long non-coding RNA (515 nucleotides) under Gallus gallus (chicken). The record is from RNAcentral. Lineage: Eukaryota; Metazoa; Chordata; Aves; Galliformes; Phasianidae.
CGGGGACGCCUCGGGCAUAGGUAAAGCCGUGAGCUCUGUAUGCUGUUAUCACAUGGUCUGUAGGCUUUAUGGCAACUUCAAGCCCUACGCAGCAAGCCUCCUGACCAUCGUAUAAGUGACAGAAGCCACGAAUAAUUUUCUGCUUGUACAGCUGGUCCGACUUCAGCUCCAUGCGCCGUAUGGUCUGCAUUGUCUUGUAGUAAUGGAGCCCCUCCUCUCGUGUCAGCACCGCAGUGGUAGCAGGGCCUUCUUCCAGGCGAUGGAGGUCACACGGCUUAAUCUCGAACGUAGCUUCAUUUGCAAAGUCGGCAUAGUUUCGUGAUGCUACCAUCACUCGGGAGGCCGUCCUGCCGGCGGCGGCGACCGGGCCCUGCAGCACGCGGGAGAGCGCGGCCAGCAGCAUCUUGCGCAUGGAGAGGAGAGGGGCGGAGACUCUGGAGGGGGUCCCGUCCUCGAGUCUCCUUCAACCGCCCGCCGAACCCGCCCCGGCUGCCAACCACACCGCCCGCCCCACG